Molecule: ribosomal RNA, 497 nt
Filed under: uncultured bacterium
Lineage: Bacteria
Description: partial 16S ribosomal RNA
Rfam family: Bacterial small subunit ribosomal RNA
Source: RNAcentral
GACGAACGCUGGCGGCGUGCCUAAUACAUGCAAGUUGAGCGCUGAAGGUUGGUACUUGUACCGACUGGAUGAGCAGCGAACGGGUGAGUAACGCGUGGGGAAUCUGCCUUUGAGCGGGGGACAACAUUUGGAAACGAAUGCUAAUACCGCAUAAAAACUUUAAACACAAGUUUUAAGUUUGAAAGAUGCAAUUGCAUCACUCAAAGAUGAUCCCGCGUUGUAUUAGCUAGUUGGUGAGGUAAAGGCUCACCAAGGCGAUGAUACAUAGCCGACCUGAGAGGGUGAUCGGCCACAUUGGGACGGAGACACGGCCCAAACUCCUACGGGAGGCAGCAGUAGGGAAUCUUCGGCAAUGGACGAAAGUCUGACCGAGCAACGCCGCGUGAGUGAAGAAGGGUGUCGGAUCGUAAAACUCUGUUGGUAGAGAAGAACGUUGGUGAGAGUGGAAAGCUCAUCAAGUGACGGUAACUACCCAGAAAGGGACGGCUAACUACGUG